RNAcentral lists this ribosomal RNA (786 nucleotides) under Bacillus sp. WBUNB006. RNAcentral describes it as "bacterial SSU rRNA". It matches the Rfam family "Bacterial small subunit ribosomal RNA", at positions 46 to 818 of the family's 1533-position model. Lineage: Bacteria; Bacillati; Bacillota; Bacilli; Caryophanales; Bacillaceae. The record is from RNAcentral.
GCCUAUACAUGCAGUCGAGCGAAUGGAUUAAGAGCUUGCUCUUAUGAAGUUAGCGGCGGACGGGUGAGUAACACGUGGGUAACCUGCCCAUAAGACUGGGAUAACUCCGGGAAACCGGGGCUAAUACCGGAUAACAUUUUGAACCGCAUGGUUCGAAAUUGAAAGGCGGCUUCGGCUGUCACUUAUGGAUGGACCCGCGUCGCAUUAGCUAGUUGGUGAGGUAACGGCUCACCAAGGCAACGAUGCGUAGCCGACCUGAGAGGGUGAUCGGCCACACUGGGACUGAGACACGGCCCAGACUCCUACGGGAGGCAGCAGUAGGGAAUCUUCCGCAAUGGACGAAAGUCUGACGGAGCAACGCCGCGUGAGUGAUGAAGGCUUUCGGGUCGUAAAACUCUGUUGUUAGGGAAGAACAAGUGCUAGUUGAAUAAGCUGGCACCUUGACKGUACCUAACCAGAAAGCCACGGCUAACUACGUGCCAGCAGCCGCGGUAAUACGUAGGUGGCAAGCGUUAUCCGGAAUUAUUGGGCGUAAAGCGCGCGCAGGUGGUUUCUUAAGUCUGAUGUGAAAGCCCACGGCUCAACCGUGGAGGGUCAUUGGAAACUGGGAGACUUGAGUGCAGAAGAGGAAAGUGGAUUCCAUGUGUAGCGGUGAAAUGCGUAGAGAUAUGGAGGACACCAGUGGCGAAGCGACUUUCUGGUCUGUAACUGACACUGAGGCGCGAAAGCGUGGGGAGCUAACAGGAUUAAAUACCCUGGUAGUCCCGCCGUAAACGAUGAGUGCUA